This 305-nucleotide ribosomal RNA is filed under the name uncultured bacterium. Its description in RNAcentral is "bacterial SSU rRNA". It matches the Rfam family "Bacterial small subunit ribosomal RNA", at positions 334 to 655 of the family's 1533-position model. The record is from RNAcentral.
GUUACCUACGGGACGCAGCAGUGGGGAAUAUUGCACAAUGGGGGAAACCCUGAUGCAGCAACGCCGCGUGAGUGAAGAAGGUUUUCGGAUUGUAAAGCUCUGUUAGCAGGGAAGAGGAAGGACAAUACCUGCAGAGGAAGCCACGACUAACUACGUGCCAGCAGCCGCGGUAAUACGUAGGUGGCAAGCGUUGUUCGGAAUAACUGGGCGUAAAGGAUGCGUAGGCGAUUAAACAAGUUAUAUGUUAAAUAUAUAGGCUUAACCUGUAGAAAGCAUAUAAAACUGUUUAACUAGAGUGCAGAAGA